CGCGUAGGCGGGUUUUUUAAGUUGGGGGUGAAAUGCCGAGGCUCAACCUCGGAACUGCCUCCAAAACUGGAAGCCUUGAGGUAUGGAGAGGGAAGUGGAAUUCCUGGUGUAGCGGUGAAAUGCGUAGAUAUCAGGAGGAACACCCGUGGCGAAGGCGGCUUCCUGGCCCAUAUCCUGACGCUGAGGUGCGAAAGCUAGGGGAGCGAACG
RNAcentral lists this ribosomal RNA (209 nucleotides) under uncultured Armatimonadota bacterium. RNAcentral describes it as "uncultured Armatimonadetes bacterium partial 16S ribosomal RNA". It matches the Rfam family "Bacterial small subunit ribosomal RNA", at positions 568 to 774 of the family's 1533-position model. Lineage: Bacteria; Bacillati; Armatimonadota. The record is from RNAcentral.